Molecule: non-coding RNA, 149 nt
Filed under: Nomascus leucogenys (northern white-cheeked gibbon)
Lineage: Eukaryota; Metazoa; Chordata; Mammalia; Primates; Hylobatidae
Source: Rfam by way of RNAcentral
GCCAGGCAUUGUGGUGUGUGUCUGUAAUCCCAGCUACUCUGGAGGCUGAGGUGGGAGGAUCGCUGGAGCCCAGGGAGGUUGAGGCUGCAGUGAGCUGUGAUCACUCCAUUGCACUCUAGCCUGGGCAACAGAGUGAGACCCUGCCUCAA